UAUUUUGACUAUACAAAGGUAUUGUAAUAAGAUUUUAAUUGAAUGCUAAAAGAAUGGAAAUUUAAAAAAAAACUUUUUUAAAAAUAAAAAUUGAAUUUUUUUUAAUUUGUGCAAAAACAAUUAUACUUAUUAAAGACAAGAAGACCCUAAGAAUUUAAGAUUUUACAAUUAAAAAGUUUUUUUUUUAAAAUCUUGAUUGGGGAGAUCAAAAAAUAUUAAUAACUUUUUAAAAUUUAAAUUGAUCUAUUAUUAAUAAACUAAUGAAUUAAAUACUCUAGGGAUAACAGCGUAAUAAUUUUUGAUAGAUCUUAUUGACAAAAUAGUUUGCGACCUCGAUGUUGGAUUAGGAUUCUUUUUUAAUGAAGAAGUUAAAAAAAGAAGUUUGUUCAACUUUUAAAUUCCU
RNAcentral lists this ribosomal RNA (403 nucleotides) under Hyalomma marginatum. RNAcentral's name for it is "partial large subunit ribosomal RNA". Lineage: Eukaryota; Metazoa; Arthropoda; Arachnida; Ixodida; Ixodidae. The record is from RNAcentral.